This 452-nucleotide unclassified non-coding RNA is filed under the name Hevea brasiliensis (rubber tree). Lineage: Eukaryota; Viridiplantae; Streptophyta; Magnoliopsida; Malpighiales; Euphorbiaceae. The record is from RNAcentral.
UUAUUUGCCGAUACUACAAAUUCAAAGAAAGGGAAAAAUGCGUUUUUAGAUUGGAGGAAUUCAAAGAACAAGCACAAAAACUUAGAUGAUAUCAUGACUUGGCUAGAAUGGAUCCUAUCUCAUACACUUCUGCGUACUGCUGAGAGCAAUCCACAAGGUCUGGAUGAUUUCUGGCUAAAGCAAGGUACAGCAAUAUUGCUUAGUUUAAUGCAGAGCUCACAGGAAGAUGUGCAAGAAAGGGCAGCAACAGGACUUGCAACUUUUGUGGUCAUUGAUGAUGAAAAUGCUAGCAUAGAUUGUGGAAGGGCUGAAGCAGUUAUGCGAGAUGGUGGUAUACGCCUCCUUCUAGACCUUGCGGAUUGAGGUCUUCAGUCAGAGGCUGCUAAGGCUAUAGCAAACUUGUCCGUGAAUGCAAAUGUUGCAAAAGCUGUUGCAGAAGAAGGAGGAAUCAA